This is a non-coding RNA of Camelina sativa (false flax), 658 nucleotides long. NCBI's taxonomy places the organism in Eukaryota, Viridiplantae, Streptophyta, Magnoliopsida, Brassicales, Brassicaceae. The record is from RefSeq and is a predicted model, not a curated record.
GCUAUUGAAUAAUGAAUGCUUGUUGUUUCUCAUCCUGGAACUCAUUCGUCUUUUAAUUUUAUUCUCUUUUUCUUUGUCAUGUUUGUACAAUGGCCCCGAGGGGUUUGCUAAAGCGCAUUACCGCGUGGUGGCUGUAAAAGGAUCGGGGAAACAUGAAGCUCGUGGAGAGAUGACAUGUAAUGUUUCUGAUAGACGAGGUCAAAGCUUUUGUACCUCUCCAAUGGGUAAGACUUGAAGCUUAUUCGGUUUUGGUGUCCGGAUGCUUUGUCUAUAAUUCUCAGUGUCUAUAUCUGCUUAACCACUACUCUUAGAGAGAAUAAUAGUUUCUGGGAUUGUCUCAAGUGACUUAAACGCUGAAGGAUGCUUUCUGAGUAACGGGUAGAAAGGUGAUGUUGCAUUCGGUAUGUAGUAAAACAUCGGAUCUAUGUUCAAAAUAGUUCUAAGUAAAAACUCUUGUAUGCGAUUUUAUGUUUUGUCGAUCAAAAUUUAAAAGACUUAAUGGUUUUAAAACAGUGAAAUAGGUAACACAGAUUUUGUAUUAUGUGAUGAUGAUCUAAAAGGAAAGGUUGUGGGGUUGGCCAAAGUCAUUUUGUGACCGCACCUUUAUCAAACAAUGAAACAUAUAAAGCGUAGAUACGGCAAUGCACAACUCUAUCAA